Molecule: non-coding RNA, 27 nt
Filed under: Rattus norvegicus (Norway rat)
Lineage: Eukaryota; Metazoa; Chordata; Mammalia; Rodentia; Muridae
Source: RNAcentral
UAGUCAGAUACCCUCUGCUUCCUGUUG